GUUGAACGCUGGCGGCAGGCCUAACACAUGCAAGUCGAGCGGAUGAAGGGAGCUUGCUUCUGGAUUCAGCGGCGGACGGGUGAGUAAUUCCUAGGAAGCUGCCUGGUAGUGGGGGAUAACGUCCGGAAACGGGCGCUAAUACCGCAUACGUCCUGAGGGAGAAAGAGGGGGUUCUUCGGACCUCACGCUAUCAGAUGAGCCUAGGUCGGAUUAGCUAGUUGGUGGGGUAAAGGCCUACCAAGGCGACGAUCCGUAACUGGUCUGAGAGGAGGAUCAGUCACACUGGAACUGAGACACGGUCCAGACUCCUACGGGAGGCAGCAGUGGGGAAUAUUGGACAAUGGGCGAAAGCCUGCUCCAGCCAUGCCGCGUGUGUGAAGAAGGUCUUCGGAUUUUAAAGCACUUUAAGUUGGGAGGAAGGGCAGUAAGUUAAUACCUUGCUGUUUUGACGUUACCAACAGAAUAAGCACCGGCUAACUUCGUG
RNAcentral lists this ribosomal RNA (484 nucleotides) under uncultured bacterium. RNAcentral describes it as "partial 16S ribosomal RNA". It matches the Rfam family "Bacterial small subunit ribosomal RNA", at positions 28 to 507 of the family's 1533-position model. The record is from RNAcentral.